This 380-nucleotide ribosomal RNA is filed under the name uncultured cyanobacterium. RNAcentral describes it as "bacterial SSU rRNA". It matches the Rfam family "Bacterial small subunit ribosomal RNA", at positions 376 to 770 of the family's 1533-position model. Lineage: Bacteria; Bacillati; Cyanobacteriota. The record is from RNAcentral.
CGAAAGCCUGACGGAGCAAUACCGCGUGAGGGAGGAAGGCUUUUGGGUUGUAAACCUCUUUUGUUAAGGAAGAAGAAAGUGACGGUACUUAACGAAUCAGCAUCGGCUAACUCCGUGCCAGCAGCCGCGGUAAUACGGAGGAUGCAAGCGUUAUCCGGAAUCAUUGGGCGUAAAGCGUCCGCAGGUGGUCAGUCAAGUCUACUGUUAAAGACAGAAGCUCAACUUCUGAAUGGCGGUGGAAACUGGUUGACUAGAGUAUGGUAGGGGUUGAGGGAAUUCCCAGUGUAGCGGUGAAAUGCGUAGAGAUUGGGAAGAACACCAGUGGCGAAGGCGCUCGACUGGGCCGUAACUGACACUCAGGGACGAAAGCUAGGGUAGCG